RNAcentral lists this ribosomal RNA (226 nucleotides) under Cryptosporidium galli. RNAcentral's name for it is "partial 18S ribosomal RNA". It matches the Rfam family "Eukaryotic small subunit ribosomal RNA", at positions 732 to 959 of the family's 1831-position model. Lineage: Eukaryota; Apicomplexa; Conoidasida; Eucoccidiorida; Cryptosporidiidae. The record is from RNAcentral.
UAUAUCUAAUAUAGAGGGAAUUUUACUUUGAGAAAAUUAGAGUGCUUAAAGCAGGCAACUGCCUUGAAUACUCCAGCAUGGAAUAAUAAGCAAGGACUUUUGUCUUUCUUAUUGGUUCUAGGACAAAAGUAAUGGUUAAUAGGGACAGUUGGGGGCAUUCGUAUUUAACAGUUAGAGGUGAAAUUCUUAGAUUUGUUAAAGACGAACUACUGCGAAAGCAUUUGCC